This 1340-nucleotide long non-coding RNA is filed under the name Capsella rubella. Its description in RNAcentral is "long non-coding RNA (CRUB_LNC003464)". The record is from RNAcentral. Lineage: Eukaryota; Viridiplantae; Streptophyta; Magnoliopsida; Brassicales; Brassicaceae.
AUGAAAAUAGUCUAGGACCUCCUCCUCUCGACAAUCACAGAGACAAGAAGCACGUGUGAGUUAUAAAGGAGAAAGCUGCAAAUUUCACCAUUCUCAUCUUUUGAAUUCUUCAAAAUUUCUGACAUCGUAAUGUACAACUUCAAAUCCGCUUUCUCCAACUCUCUCGCUCUCAGCCGCUUGGAGUAAGAUCAGAAACUAUCAAACGGAGCUUAGACAUGUAUAAGAUCGACCUACCUAUUUGCUCACUUUUUUUCCUUUUUCUCAUUAAAGGAAAGGGAACGCUCAGCAAAGGCCAUUACAACGUGAUAUAAAUCCUUAUAAGGGUUUCCACUUGUGGGUAGAUGGAUCCAAAUUUCUCAACCCUUUUGGUUAUCUAUUUUAAUUGAUUAUGAGAUUCCAACGGAAAUUGAGGCUGACGGCGCUUUUAGGUUAAAACUUGGGGAGAGAGAGUCAGCGGCAGGCUACUCUGUUUUCGAUACUAUGAUUGCUCGAAAUAAAAUGUAUGGUCCUUCAAAAUCUUUAUGAGUUACAAAACUUAUUAUGUUCAAUGGGUUUCAUCAUUCUUCUUUAUUUAUUAUGUUAAAUAUCAAUGUUCUGUCACUAAACCCAACUUAUAGUUCUUGUCUUGAUCAAUUUACAUAUAUUAUAUAUGAUUCUCUGCCUUUUGAUUUUUUAUUCAUCCAAAUCAAGUCUUAAAACUUAUACUACUUUAGCUACAAAGCAUAAUGAGUACUUACUACUUAAAACAGAAAUACAAAGACUAAGUGGUAAUAUACGACUUUCUAACACAAUUUAUACAGACAAACCAUGAAAUUUCAGCUCAAAACCCUGCAAAAUUCCCACUGUCGGCGAGUCGUUUGCUGGACCGAACACCUCUAUAUCCGUGGCUCCGGCUCAUGCGAUGCAGACCGAUAAAUUCCGAUUAGAAUAUGUUUCAUCCAUCUUUUCAAGAGCUUAAGUUUCAUGACCAAAAAUCCCACCAAGGGUAAUUGCUGCUAGACUGGUGCAAGAGGCUUGUAUCUGACUUGAAACCUCUCCAAUCAUCAGAUGAUGUCAAGCAGCUAUCAGCUGGUUCAACAAUGUUCAUUAGCUGAUCUGCUUCUUCUUCAAACCCACCAAAAUACUCUCUCUUGAUGUUGUUAUUAUAACCAUCUUCAUCUUCAUGAUCAUGAUCAUGAUGAUCACACGAAACCCCAUGAUGGCCUUUCUCAUCAUACAUCUCCAUCUCCGGUCUAACCUCCUCAGGUUCAUGACACCUCCGGUGGUUCUCUUCGUUUUCUGAUUCAUGAUCUGUGCUACUUAGAGCCACCACAGCUUGAUCACCACAACACUGCCUUUCC